This is an RNA transcript of Phacochoerus africanus (Common warthog), 2598 nucleotides long. It is a transcript of the gene named scleraxis bHLH transcription factor, with no coding region annotated. NCBI's taxonomy places the organism in Eukaryota, Metazoa, Chordata, Mammalia, Artiodactyla, Suidae. The record is from RefSeq and is a predicted model, not a curated record. The transcript is spliced from 3 exons.
AUGUCCUGGGCCAGGAGGCCAGCAUGUUGGCACUGGAUGUCCACUGUGCCCACCCUUCCCUCCAAGCCCCCAGAAGAUACAGAAGAGGAAGAGGCAGGACUCGUGCCUUCUCCCUGGGGUGUGACGUGGCACAGCGGCCGGCACUGUCCCCCAUCCCCCGACCCUCGGAGGCGCCGGAGCUGCACCUUCACAUUUUCCACUGAAGUGGUGCCAACCCCAGAGCCUCCCCCCGGAUUCCUUGGCCGGGGCUCUGGGCAGCCACAGGCAAGGUGACCUCAUCGCCCGUGGGCUCCCUCCCCUGGUGGGGCCUUAGGCAAAAGCGGGCCGGGACUCGGGGAAGACCCCCGCCACCCACCCCUCAGGGAGGCAGAAUCCCCCACCUCGUGACCUGCAAGUGUUCAGGGACUCCCGCAGCCCCCGGCCUGUCCCCAUCCCACCCCCAGUGGGCAGUGCAGCCACAUUCCUGGAUACACAUUCCUGGUCGAGGCCCCUGCCAGCCACCACCCUCCCUCCACCCAGCACGGAGACUGCUGCCCAGGCAGCCGCUUCCUGCAACAGUAGCCACAGGGGGAGGGGCCCAGAUGAGACGGCACAGCUGGGCGCCCCCCUUGAAGCAGGACGGGACCCUCCGGGCUCGGCCCCUCGGCACCUGCCCAGCCCCACCUGCCAGCGUUAGUCCUCCCGGCUCCCCCGUCCUCCAGGUGCGCCCCCGAGCCCUGCUAGGAAAGCCCUUCCUUCUCCUGUGCCCCCCAAGUCUGCAGAGCCACCCCUGAACUGGGCAGAUGGGGGUUGGGGGUCCGUGGCCCAGAGAGGAGCCCACCGGAGCACUUGGCAGGGGAGGAGGAUGCGGGUGGGGGUCUCCCGAGCAGAAGCACAGGCAGGAGCCACAGCCUGUGCCAGACCUGGUGUUUGAUGCCAGCAGAGGGCAGGUGCAGGACAGAAAGGCUGUGCUGCCAGGGACCCCAGGCCAAAGCUGUCGGGGGGCAGCAAAGGGGCCGGGCUUGCCCUCUGGCCCCUCGAUGCUCCUCGGUGCCCCCUCCUCCGGGCACAGAAGGCCCAAGUGUACAUGGGAGGGAGGCAGAGGCAGACAGGGUGUGGCCGGGCACUGUGGCCAGGGCAGCUGGGUGAGCUUGGUCAUGCCAAGGCAGGCCUGGGUCAUGGGUCCUGCUUGAUCCUCCUGGCCCCGCUAACAGGGGAGAGAGGAGGCCCCGCCGCCCCGGCAGCACCUAGCAGGGGGCUCCCCCUUGCCCACGUCCCCCGAGACAGCAAGAUGCUCCAUCCAGGCCCCUUCGCAGCGGCGCGCGAAGGCAGAGGGACGGAGGGCCCCUGCUCCAAGCCGCCUCCGGGGGCUGGGAGGCGGGGAGAGGGCGGGCCGGCGCGGGGGAGGGGCCGCCGCCGCUAUAAAGGCCCGGCCCGCGGCCCCGCUCCAGCCCGGGACGCACACGUGCGCGCUGCGCCGCCGCAGCCGCCACCGCGGGAGCCACCGCCGGAGCCGGAGCCCGAGACCCGCGCCUCCCUGGCCCGGCGGCCGGCGGCGGCGGCAUGCGCUGCGCUCGGCGGAGCUGACGGCGGCCGCCGGCCCACGUCCUUCGCCAUGCUGCGCUCGGCGCCGCCCGGCCGCUACCUGUACCCCGAGGUGAGCCCGCUGUCGGAGGACGAGGACCGUGGCAGCGAGAGCUCGGGCUCCGACGAGAAGCCCUGCCGCGUGCACGCGGCGCGCUGCAGCCUCCAGGGCGGCCGGAGGCGGGCCGGGGGCCGGCGGGCGGGGGGCGGCGGCGGCGGCCCGGGGGCCGGGGGGCGGCCGGGCCGCGAGCCCCGGCAGCGACACACGGCGAACGCGCGCGAGCGGGACCGCACCAACAGCGUGAACACGGCCUUCACGGCGCUGCGCACGCUCAUCCCCACCGAGCCGGCCGACCGCAAGCUGUCCAAGAUCGAGACCCUGCGCCUGGCCUCCAGCUACAUCUCGCACCUGGGCAACGUGCUGCUGGUGGGCGAGGCCUGCGGCGACGGGCAGCCGUGCCACUCGGGGCCCGCCUUCUUCCACGCGGCGCGCGCGGGCAGCCCCCCGCCCCCGCCCCCGCCGCCCCCCGCCCGCGACGGCGAGAACGCCCAGCCCAAACAGAUCUGCACCUUCUGCCUCAGCAACCAGAGAAAGUUGACAGCACGCGCGAGCUCCUGGGGCCUGAACAUCUGGGAAAUUUAAUUUUACAAUUUCGGCUGUGCAGCAGUGUUCUCCUCCCCAAACUGCACGGGGAAGAUGGGAGCAAGGACCGCGACAGGAAGACUGCGAUUCGGAGUUAGAGGCCGAUGCGGCCGGCCGGCCACGCAGAGCCCCCGUGGGCCUGACUCCCCGAGGGCGCCCCCAGCCCAGCCCUGCCCUGCCCCCCCGGCCGUGAGCGGGGCCAAUGGACAGACAGGCAGCAGGACGCGGAGCUGGCCCCAGCACUUGCCCAGGGCCACUGGAACUUUCCGUGCUGGCUUCCUACCCGAGUUUCUUCUGGUCACUCUGUGCUGGCAUCUUGUGCCUUUGAUAUGAUAAUAUAAAGUCUGGAAAUUUUGUAUAAUUAAAAAACAAAACAGUAUCUUCCAAACACA